AACGCGAAGAACCUUACCUGGGCUCGAAAUGUAGAGGACGACCACAGAGAUGUGGUUUCUCGAAAGGGUCUCUAUAUAGGUGCUGCAUGGCUGUCGUCAGCUCGUGCCGUGAGGUGUUUGGUUAAGUCCAGCAACGAGCGCAACCCUUAUCGUUAGUUGCCAACGCGUAAUGGCGGGAACUCUAACGAGACUGCCUAGGUUAACUAGGAGGAAGGUGAGGAUGACGUCAAGUCCGCAUGGCCUUUAUGUCCAGGGCUACACACGUGCUACAAUGGUCGGUACAGAAGGCAGCGAAACCGCAAGGUGAAGCAAAUCCCCAAAACCGAUCUCAGUUCAGAUUGUAGUCUGCAACUCGGCUACAUGAAGUUGGAAUUGCUAGUAAUGACGUGUCAGCAACAACGUCGUGAAUACGUUCCCGGGCCUUGUACACACCGAUACUC
This 440-nucleotide ribosomal RNA is filed under the name uncultured bacterium. Its description in RNAcentral is "bacterial SSU rRNA". It matches the Rfam family "Bacterial small subunit ribosomal RNA", at positions 958 to 1398 of the family's 1533-position model. The record is from RNAcentral.